UUGAACGCUGGCGGCAGGCCUAACACAUGCAAGUCGAACGGUAACAGGAAGAAGCUUGCUUCUUUGCUGACGAGUGGCGGACGGGUGAGUAAUGUCUGGGAAACUGCCUGAUGGAGGGGGAUAACUACUGGAAACGGUAGCUAAUACCGCAUAACGUCGCAAGACCAAAGAGGGGGACCUUCGGGCCUCUUGCCAUCGGAUGUGCCCAGAUGGGAUUAGCUAGUAGGUGGGGUAACGGCUCACCUAGGCGACGAUCCCUAGCUGGUCUGAGAGGAUGACCAGCCACACUGGAACUGAGACACGGUCCAGACUCCUACGGGAGGCAGCAGUGGGGAAUAUUGCACAAUGGGCGCAAGCCUGAUGCAGCCAUGCCGUGUGUAUGAAGAAGGCCUUCGGGUUGUAAAGUACUUUCAGCGGGGAGGAAGGGAGUAAAGUUAAUACCUUUGCUCAUUGACGUUACCCGCAGAAGAAGCACCGGCUAACUCCGUG
Molecule: ribosomal RNA, 489 nt
Filed under: uncultured bacterium
Lineage: Bacteria
Description: partial 16S ribosomal RNA
Rfam family: Bacterial small subunit ribosomal RNA
Source: RNAcentral